AUAUCGGCUUUUAUUGACUGGAAGAAGGAACAAGCAGUGGUUGACCACCAUACUACAUCCUGGAGACAGAGAGGCCGGGCUCAGGCCUUGAUCGCCUUUAUACCUCGGUCCGUGGGAGGAGCCAUAGGAGCAGUCAGCAGGGGGCGUGUCCAGACAGGUAUACGUAGUUCACCACAGGACGACAGGAGUACAGCAGAAAAAAAAUUGUGAGCAUUAGAAUUUUAUCUCAGACCUGGGAGAGGGUUGCUACUGGUCCCUUCGAGACCCGUGCCUGUCACGUGACAACACUGCCCUCACCUGGUCGGAGGUCACACCACCUGCAAGUCAACAUUUCGCCCCUCCCAACUAAUCAAUGCACACUUAACCAUUGGCCAUCUUAAUAGGAUUAACCUGUCUAGCACCAAGCCGUUGGCCCCCUGACCUAUAAAAGGAGCUACAUAUGCUUGGCUUGCUCUCUUUUGCCAUCCUCGAGGGACCACCCUGCUUCACUCCAGGUUGAGUACCCCAUAUUCUAAAUGCUUAGGGCUGGAUUGUUUCCGAUUUUGGAAUAUAUAAUGAGAUAGGGUUAAUCGGGCAUGUCGAAGGUCGCUGGGACAGCACGGCAUGAAGGACAAAGGGUCUAUUCCAUGUUCUAUCAUUAAAAUAUAAAACAAUUCUGACUCUGAAUUUAGGUGCUACAGGUUUUUGUCUCCACGGGGACUGUGCACUGAUACCACCAUGGGCAGAUGCCUUUGACAGAGGAAGAUUGAUGAGGACAAGGUCAGGUACUGGAACCACUGUGGAGAACCCCAAAACUAUUACUUCUCUUCUGUAUCUCUCCUUGUGGCAGGUCAGUCCUGCUAAUGGAACAGGAUAUACCUAGGGAUUGUGAUUGGGAAUGAAAGGGUUAACAUAUGAGAAGUGUUUGACUCAGGGCCUGUAUUUGUUAGAGUUUAGAACAGGUGGAAUCUCAUAAAAAUCUAUUGAAUAUUGAAAGGCAUAGAUAGAGUGGAUGUGGAGAGAAUGUUUACAAUAGUGAGAGAGUCUAGGACCAGAGGGCAUAGCCUUAGAAUAGAAGGACAUCCCUUUAGAAUGUCAAUGAGGAGGGACUUUAGCUGGAGGAUGGUUCAUCUGUGGGAUUCAAUGCCACAGAUGACUGAAGGACAAGUCAUUGGGUAUACUUAAGGUGGAGGUUGAUAGGUUCUUGAUUAGUAAGGGUGUCAAAGGUUACAAGGAGAAGGGAGGAGAAUGGGUUUCUGAGGAAAAAUAAACCAGCCAUCAUUGAAUUGUGGAGCAGACUCAAUGGCCGAAUUUCCUAAUUCUGCUCCUAUGCCUAAUGGUCUUACCUUUCCCAAUUCAGAUACGACUUUUUAGUUGUUUGUGAGAAGCUUUGUGAAGAGACUUGGUCAUGAACAGGUUCAAUGACACAUGGCCUGUCUGGUUUCAUUCUUUCUCUGUUUAAACAUAGCGAUUAAGAUGCAGGUGAGUGGUUUGCUGUGCUUGUUCAAAAGGGUACAUAAGCAUCAACCAGUGGGAUGGAUGAGGAGUCACAUCAAACUAGAUAAAGCAGGCUUCUAAGAGCAUCAGUGAGCUAAAUGGGCUUUUAUAGUCAUUGUGACUCCACAUUACAGUUUAUUAACUGAUUUUAAAUUCCACAGCUGUUCUGUUAAAAUUUGUGUUCAGGUUUCUGGAUUAUUGGACCAGAUUACUCUGGAUUACUUAUCCAAUAUCUGAACAACUGAAAUCAAAUGUGGUUCACUGAAAUUGAAUGGUAAAACAGAAUAUUUACAGAAAGGGCCAAAAUUACUCCCUCUGGCACAAAAGCAGGGGUUCCUGCAAAAUUCAUUAGCGCCUGUGAGUCACUUGUUUUUAAUGCCCUUGACUCUGUCAGGUAUGAAUCCAUAUUUUGUGAUAGUUUCAAGAAUUUCAUAAUGGCACAGUAAGAGAUAGUCAUUUGAAACUGAGCCAUACAUACUGUAUGAAUAUUUGUUCUGCAUCAAGAUAUUCUCCUGGCAAUACAAGUUCUUUUCAUGGUAACAUAAGUGGCCUGUGCUCUAUCCUACUCUGAACAGGCUUCACUUUGACUGUAUGAUUUAUAAUGUGUACAAGGACAAAUUGGACAGCAAAGCUCUGACAGGAUGAUGCUAUACAUUAUCUCUAGGAGCAGACGAACAAUGCUUAGCACUUCUUGUUUAGUCUUGUAUAUCUGGGGGAAGAAAUGAUUCUGUUUUGUGGCAGAUGGCAUGUCCCCAAGUUCAAUAGCUAAUAAUUUACAUGAAAACAAUCCGUAAAUUACCUGUUGUUGUGAAAUAAACUUGCCAUCAACAUUGUUAAAUUCAGCAUUGUACUCGUUCAAGGUUUUAGUGUUCAUGAGAGAAAAUUGGACUGUACUGUUUCCCUUUCAUCUUUGGACCUUCCCUGGAGAUGGCUAUGGAGAUGUCAUUCACUCUCAUAUGCAACUGAGGAAUUCUCUCACAACUGACUGUGGUAAUGCUGCUGAUGAAAUAAAAGCAAAUUAUAUGAAAGCGAGGAUCAGGAAAGUCUUUCGAACUUUUCCCAUGGAACUUUGGUACAAAUGGCCAUUUUGAUGCACUAAGAUGCCUUCUGUUGUGUAUUAAGUAAUAUUUGAGCAAUAUUGUAUGUAUAUUGUUGAAGUACUCUGCUUUUUUAAAAAUACAUGAAUGGCAUACAGGUACGUCAUAUCACCAGGUCAUAUGUGCGUGUCUGACUAAAAGUAAAACUAAGAACGUAUACAAGUCAUACCCAGCUCUCGCAUGUUUUUAUUUUGAUUAGAUUUUAUGUUUUGGAAUUACAAAUCAGAACACCUCUCACUCAACCAGCUACCAGCAAUUUUGUUAGCUUCUGCUUAGAUUGGAACCAUCCUCAGUGUGUUUGCCCAUCUGUGCCAUAUCUUCACAUUUCCUUGAAGAAGCUCCAUUGUUGUGCAGAGAAAUAGAUGCUGACACAAGCACCUGAGUCUGUGUGUUUUUACAGGGUGCUGCCUCUGAAAAUUAUUUGAAAACCACUCUCUAGCAAUUGUUUCUAACUUUGAACACAAAAGGCACUUCUCUUAAAAAAAUUAGUUCAGAUUAAAGCUCGUCAUCAAAAUCAGUUUGUUUAUUCAUUC
Hypanus sabinus (Atlantic stingray) is the source of this 3106-nucleotide long non-coding RNA. RefSeq lists it as uncharacterized. The record is from RefSeq and is a predicted model, not a curated record. The transcript is spliced from 4 exons. Lineage: Eukaryota; Metazoa; Chordata; Chondrichthyes; Myliobatiformes; Dasyatidae.